Molecule: ribosomal RNA, 116 nt
Filed under: Klebsiella pneumoniae
Lineage: Bacteria; Pseudomonadati; Pseudomonadota; Gammaproteobacteria; Enterobacterales; Enterobacteriaceae
Source: RNAcentral
UCAGGCGUACCUAGACACGUGGCCGACCCUGACCCCAUGCCGAACUCAGAAGUGAAACGCCGUAGCGCCGAUGGUAGUGUGGGGUCUCCCCAUGUGAGAGUAGGGAACUGCCAGGC